This 484-nucleotide ribosomal RNA is filed under the name uncultured bacterium. RNAcentral describes it as "partial 16S ribosomal RNA". It matches the Rfam family "Bacterial small subunit ribosomal RNA", at positions 29 to 507 of the family's 1533-position model. The record is from RNAcentral.
AUUGAACGCUGGCGGCAUGCUUUACACAUGCAAGUCGAACGGCAGCGCGGGCUUCGGCCUGGCGGCGAGUGGCGAACGGGUGAGUAAUACAUCGGAACGUGCCCAGUAGUGGGGGAUAGCUCGGCGAAAGCCGGAUUAAUACCGCAUACGACCUGAGGGUGAAAGCGGGGGAUCUUCGGACCUCGCGCUAUUGGAGCGGCCGAUGGCAGAUUAGCUAGUUGGUGGGGUAAAGGCCUACCAAGGCGACGAUCUGUAGCUGGUCUGAGAGGACGACCAGCCACACUGGGACUGAGACACGGCCCAGACUCCUACGGGAGGCAGCAGUGGGGAAUUUUGGACAAAGGGCGAAAGCCUGAUCCAGCAAUGCCGCGUGUGUGAUGAAGGCCUUCGGGUUGUAAAGCACUCUUGGCGGGAACGAAAAGGACUGUGCCAAUACCACGGUUCGAUGACGGUACCCGCAGAAUAAGCACCGGCUAACUACGUG